This 87-nucleotide transfer RNA is filed under the name Ictidomys tridecemlineatus (thirteen-lined ground squirrel). RNAcentral describes it as "Spermophilus tridecemlineatus (thirteen-lined ground squirrel) tRNA". It matches the Rfam family "tRNA". From Rfam's summary of the family: Transfer RNA (tRNA) molecules are approximately 80 nucleotides in length. Their secondary structure includes four short double-helical elements and three loops (D, anti-codon, and T loops). Lineage: Eukaryota; Metazoa; Chordata; Mammalia; Rodentia; Sciuridae. The record is from Rfam by way of RNAcentral.
UGGGACAUAGCUCAGUUGGUAGAGUGCUUGCCUUGCAUGCACAAAGCCCUGUGCAUGCAACCCUGGGUUCAAUCCCCAGCACCACAA